UCCCGUGAAAUAGCCUCGUGCAACUACAACAAAAAAGGGUAUUACCAAGUCACUCAAAACCCUCCAAAAAACUAACAUUACUUCUCUUAUCAUCACUCAUUCGCACUCAUCUUAAUCAUGUAACCAAGUUGUCUGAAUAUAAAUCCUUCUACUACAUUUCGCAAACACAAUGACUGACUCUGUUAUCAAUUCCAUGUGGAUAAGCGCCUUCCUAGUGAUGCAACAAAGAGCUUUGACUUAAACAAAACAACAAACAUUACUCUUAUUAUCAUUACUCACUAAGCACAGACGAAUCAUGUAACCAAAUUAGAAUAAUCUAAAGCUUCCUACAACAUUUUGCAAACAAAAUCACUAACUAUUUCUACACUAGAUAAGCCCCUACUUAGUGAUUACUCCUCUUAUCAUCUCACUCACUAGCCUCAGAUUCUUCUCGCGAGGUAGCCUCAUGAAACUACAACAAUAAAGGGUAUUUGCUAAAGUCACCCAGAACACCAAAACAACAAACGUUUUUCAUCUAAAAACACACUUUAAGUAGCCAUGCUGCUUUACCACUCACUCGGAAACAAAAAUCAUAUAACCUUAUGUUGUGUUAAAUAAAGCCUUCAACUACAUUUAGCAUAACACUAGUCCUCUUAUCAUCACUCACUAAGCACAGAAGAAUCAUGUAACCAAAUUAUCUUAAUCUAAAGCCUUCUUCUACAACACUUGGCAAACACAAUCCAUAACAAACUUGCUACACUCGAUAAGACUAUAAGCCCCUACUUAGUGAUGCAACAAAG
Arabidopsis thaliana (thale cress) is the source of this 779-nucleotide long non-coding RNA. RefSeq annotates it as other RNA. Lineage: Eukaryota; Viridiplantae; Streptophyta; Magnoliopsida; Brassicales; Brassicaceae. The record is from RefSeq. The transcript has a single exon.